This 468-nucleotide ribosomal RNA is filed under the name uncultured bacterium. RNAcentral describes it as "partial 16S ribosomal RNA". It matches the Rfam family "Bacterial small subunit ribosomal RNA", at positions 28 to 507 of the family's 1533-position model. The record is from RNAcentral.
GACGAACGCUGGCGGCGUGCUUAACACAUGCAAGUCGAACGGAAAGACCCUGCUUUUGUGGGGUGCUCGAGUGGCGAACGGGUGAGUAACACGUGAGUAACCUGCCCUUGACUUUGGGAUAACUUCAGGAAACUGGGGCUAAUACCGGAUAGGAGCUCCUGCUGCAUGGUGGGGGUUGGAAAGUUUCGGCGGUUGGGGAUGGACUCGCGGCUUAUCAGCUUGUUGGUGGGGUAGUGGCUUACCAAGGCUUUGACGGGUAGCCGGCCUGAGAGGGUGACCGGCCACAUUGGGACUGAGAUACGGCCCAGACUCCUACGGGAGGCAGCAGUGGGGAAUAUUGCACAAUGGGCGGAAGCCUGAUGCAGUAACGCCGCGUGCGGGAUGAUGGCCUUCGGGUUGUAAACCGCUUUCGCCUGUGACGAAGCGUGAGUGACGGUAAUGGGUAAAGAAGCACCGGCUAACUACGUG